Molecule: ribosomal RNA, 414 nt
Filed under: uncultured microorganism
Description: bacterial SSU rRNA
Rfam family: Archaeal small subunit ribosomal RNA
Source: RNAcentral
CAGCAGCCGCGGUAAUACCGGCGGCCCGAGUGGCGGUCACUAUUAUUGGGCUUAAAGCGUCCGUAGCCGGGUUGGGAAGUCCUCCGGGAAAUCUGGCCGCUUAACGGUCAGAAUGCCGGAGGAUACUCCCAGCCUAGGGAGCGGGGGAGGCCGAGGGGAUUCCCGGAGUAGGGGGGAAAUCCUAUAAUCCCGGGAGGACCACCUGUGGCGAAGGCGCUCGGCUGGAACGCGUCCGACGGUGAGGGACGAAGGCCAGGGGAGCAAACCGGAUUAGAUACCCGGGUAGUCCUGGCUGUAAACGAUGCGGACUUUGUGUCGGACAAGCUAUGAGCUUGUCCGGUGCCGGAGGGAAACCGUUAAGUCCGCCGCCUGGGGAGUACGGCCGCAAGGCUGAAACUUAAAGGAAUUGGCGGG